Molecule: ribosomal RNA, 450 nt
Filed under: uncultured bacterium
Lineage: Bacteria
Description: partial 16S ribosomal RNA
Rfam family: Bacterial small subunit ribosomal RNA
Source: RNAcentral
AGCGAACAUUGGCGGUAGGCUUAACACAUGCAAGUCGAGCGAGGCGUAAUAGUCGAGCGGCGAACGGGUGCGUAAUACAUGGGAAUCUACCUCGAAGUGGGGGAUAACGUCCAGAAAUGGACGCUAAUACCGCAUAAUCCAUAUUGGGAAAGCGUUGCAGCGCUUUGAGAUGGGCCCAUGGCUGAUUAGCUAGUUGGUGAGGUAAUGGCUCACCAAGGCGACGAUCAGUAGCUGGUCUGAGAGGAUGACCAGCCACACUGGAACUGAGACACGGUCCAGACUCCUACGGGAGGCAGCAGUGGGGAAUCUUGCGCAAUGGGGGCAACCCUGACGCAGCCAUACCGCGUGAGUGAUGAAGGUCUUCGGAUUGUAAAGCUCUUUCGGCGGGGACGACGAUGACGGUACCCGCAAAAGAAGUCACGGCUAACUUCGUGCCAGCAGCCGCAGUAA